CAUUAUAUAACAAUUCAUAAUACUGUUUCAACAUUAUCGCAACAAAACAUCUCAACAUUUAGUCAUCAUAAACAACGUAAAUAAUAAUCAACUAUCUAUCGAAUCCCAUAACCCCGGUGUCACAUGACCAGAGCAUUUGACUCGACUCUGUAGAAUAGCUCUACACUUAUUCUUCGAACCUCAACAAUAGCUACUCCUCUUUAUCUGCACAUUGCUCAUCAUAGAUGAACAUAACACAUGCAGAAGGGGUGAGAAUUACUUUAUUAAAUAAUAAUAUAACGACAGAAUUAUAAACAUAAAUAUACUUCACAUAUGCCAACACAGCUCAUCAUCAUCAUCAUAAUAAUCUCAUCCCUGCGUCGGAUGGAAUGAUUGGCUUGUUUUCAGUUCCUUGAACUUGGGAUGAAGUUGACUAAGAACGGCGAACAAUCAGUCAUACGCUUUAAUCCCUAUUUUUGCCUGGAAACGCCUUUUAGGUUUUCAAGUCCACCAGGAUACCUUUUUUGCCCAAGCCCUUUUCAGGUUCGACUUGCGGUGUACAUUUUUAUAUACCUUUUUUCUGCCGAACCUUGGUUCGCCGGAUGCCCUUCCUUUUGCCUAGAUACGUCGAUCUAAGCGGGUCUCUUUUAUGCGUAGUAUUUUUUAACUAUGUCCCGCGUUCACGAAUGGGGAAGUCUCAACCAAAAUCCCAUUGUAGCGAGUAUCAGGCUCACUGAGAAUACUUCUUAACUAAAAUGGCCUUCGAUGUGGGAUUCCAUUUGCCCUCUGGAGUUCAUUUGUGGUAGGAUGAUCGUUUGAUUACCAAGUCGCCCAAUUUGAUACCCUUGUCUCUUGCCCUUUUUGUUGAUGCCCUGGUCAUGCCGUAUGAUCAUAUCUGCCCGGACAUAAGCCCCAAGUCUCCUUCUCAUCAUCAAAUUUAUCUGAUCGAGUCGAUCUGAUCCAUUUCGUCCUCGUCUAAGCCGCCUUUUCAUGAUCCUUAAGAAGAGGGAAUCGACCUCUACUGGUAAAACGGCUUCCAUUCGUAGCUAAAGAGAAAGGAGUUUCCCCUGUCCGAAGUUCGUACGAAGUAGAUAACAUGAGAGCACAAAUGGUAACUCUCAUGCAGUCUUUGGUUAUGUUACGUCUCUUUUGUAUAAUCUUUAAUAUUCUUAUAGGCGUCUCUACGACGCCGUCACCUUGGCGGUACGGAGAAGAGUUAUGAUGUUUUAUUUUAACUCGUGCAGAGUUCAGUAAUCAUCUGUUGUUCACAAUUAGUGCCAUGUCAGUGGAUAAUCUCUCAGGGACGCCGUCGCAGGAUGAAGGCAUGUUCUGUGAACUGCACCAAACUGUCUUAUAACAGAGCAAAUGAAGGCUGCCUACCACCUUGUGAAGUAAUCAAAUAGCACAAGGAAUGAAACCGAUGUCCAUUUAGAGGCGGUAAGGUUAAUUUUCGCCAAUCACAUCAGCCCCAUGCAAAGGGCCCAUGGCGCGUCAACAGUUUAAUGGAGCAGGAGGAUGUAUUUAAUCCGCAUUAGAUCUGGCAACUUAUCAAGUCUGGAGUGAUGGUGGAAUCAGUUUCCAUGGUGACCAUAUACCGACUCAAAUCUUCUUGGCCAUUGUAUGUCACUAGAAAUCGAGUCCCAAACGAUACCGUCGUGCAUGUCCUUUGCAUAUUUCUCUGAUUCCUUUUCUAUCCACACAGCUGAUAGCAAAGUCGAAUCAUGUUACGUUUUACAAUAUUCCAUUUACUCAAAAAGAAUUUAGCGUGAGAACCUUCUCAAAUUCCUGUCAUUUAUGGAUGUCUCAUAGGUACGUGAAGCUUCUUAAAUACUUUUUAUCUGUGGUACCAAGGACUUCUAUCUACUUCAUCAGCGUUAAGUUUAUACAAAUGCUGGUUUCGUUCUAGUGUCAAUGUAAAUUCCGGGGAGCUUCAUGUCCCAUCGACUCUGAACAUAGAUGAACAGGUAGCUAUGCGUCUGCCAAAACUGGUUCUCCUCUCGUGGAUAUAUUCGAAUGUGAUAAUCGUACACCUCACCAAACGACAUAUUUAUAUAUAUUAUCAGAGUACAACAUGUAGAAGAGUUUACAUUUCAUACAACAUAUUAUUCUCGCAUCACAAUACAUCAUUUAUUUAUUUAUUUAAAACUUCGCAGCGGACAACAACAUCAUAAAUAUGUUNGCCAACACAGCUCAUCAUAAUCAUCAUCAUCAUAAUCAAAUACUCAUGAACUCAACAAAACAACACAUCAAUGCAAUGCACACACCCAUGCAUGACUCAACACGACUCGGUAUACCCAUUUUGUGACAACUACAGGAUCAACUCCCAGAUUCAUCACCAUAGAAUCCGAGUUCCCCGCAAGGAACCAAGCCUCUCAACAAGCCCGGAGUCAACAACAUCAUUGGAACUCAGUCCGUUCAUCACUAGGCAUCGGCCUUUCAUGAAUGCAUGCACAUCAAACAUGCAUCAUAAUCAACAUAGCAACAACAACAUCAUAUGGUCAUGUUAUCAUCAUCUUAAUAGCAUGACAUACAACUCAACAAACAACAACAACAUCAUACGAUAUCACAUCUCACAUAACACAUUCAUAACUAACACGUAAAUUCAACAUCUAUCCAUAACACCUCAUACAUAAUCAUAUAAUCACUAUUAAUGUUUAUGAUACAACUACAGCGACUUACUAAGGUCUCGCAACUCAACGUACUCAAAACCCCAACAUUAGCUUCUGCAUUUCUCCAGUUCGCGCCGCCAACAUAGGGACGCGCCGCGAACUCCUCCAAUACAACCAUGUCGCGCCGCGAACGAAGGAUCGCGUCGCGAACAACUAUUUGCUUCAGUACGCGCCGCGAACAAUGAUUACAGAACUCCUCUAAUCCUGCCAGUUCGCGCCGCGAACUGGCUUCGCCGCCGCGAAUCGCGCGCGAACAGAACCCUCUGCUGCAGAAAUCGGCAGCUUUGCUUCUCUACUCGCCAUAACCGUACCCACAGCUAACAACCCAAAAUCGACUUUAACAGUCAUAUAUACACAACAUACUUCGAUUACAGUGCAUUAUACACACAAAACUCACAGAUCGAGAUUUCCAUCAAAACCCCAACUUUCCAAUCUCCUAAAAUCCCAAAAUUCAUCAACAAUCCAACGAUAUCAUGAAUUGCUCGCAUAUUAUCGUUAAUAAGUUCAGACCCCUUACCUCUUUGGAUUGAAGGAAGCUCCGAGCAAUCUUUGGCCUUUUCUCUCCUUCUCUUUCUCUUCAGCGUUUCUCCCCUUUUCUGACUCUGAGCAAACACGUGAAAACCCUCUGUUCCAAAAAUGGAACUCUCUUAUUUCCAACUUAUAUAUUUUCCAAAUUUAUUAUUCAAAAUAAUAAUAAUAAUAAUAAUCAAUAAUCCAAUUUAUUUAUUAAAUUAAUAAAAUAAUAUUAUCAACUUAAUCAAAUAAUUCUUUUACUUUAUUGGGGUGUUACAACUCUCCCCCACUAAAAGAGUUUUCGUCCUCGAAAACAUACCUCAAGCAAAUAGAGUCGGAUACGACUCCUUCAUCUGAUCUUCACGCUCCCAAGUCAAGCUCUCACCAGCUGGACCUCCCCAAACAACUUUCACUAGAGCAAUCUUCUUACCUCUCAGGGUCUUCUCUUCUCGGUCAUCUAUCCGAAUUGGCAACACCUCAACGGUCAAAUUAUCCCUCACCUGGAUAUCAUCCAACUGAACAACAUGCGAAGGAUCGCAAUAUAUUUUCUCAACUGAGAUACAUGAAACACAUCAUGCAGAUUAGAAAGCGACGGCGGUAAAGCUAUCCGAUACGCACUUCCCCACCCUCUUCAAAUCUGAUACGGACCCACAACCUCGGAGUAAGCUUUUUAAGAAUGUGUCAACAUGAUCUCAACAAAACAUCUCAACAAUUAUUCAUCAUAAACAACAUAAAUAAAGAUAAUUUGGCUAUCGAAUCCCAUAAUCCCCGGUGUCACAUGACCAGAGCAUUUGACUCGACUCGGUAGAAUAGCUCUACACUUAUUCUUCGAACCUCAACAAUAUCUACUCCUCUUUAUCUGCACAUUGCUCAUCAUAGAUGAACAUAAACACAUGCAGAAGGGGUGAGAAUUACAUUAUUAAAUAAUAAUAUAACGACAGAAAUAUAAACAUAAUUAUAUAUUUCACACAUGCCAACACAGCUCAUCAUCAUUAUCAUAAUCAACAAACUCAUGAACAUCAACAAAACAACACAUCAAUUACAAUGCAAACACCCAUGCAUGACUCAACACGACUCGGUAUACCCAUUUUGUGACCAACUAUAGGAUCACCACUCCCAGAUUCAUCACCAUAGAAUCCGAGUUCCCCGCAAGGAACCAAGCCUCUCAACAAGCCCGGAGUCCAACAAAUCAGUUGAACUCAGUCCGUUCAUCACCAGGCCAAUCGGCCUUUCAUGAAUGCAUGCACACCAAACAUGCAUCAUAAUCAACAUAGCAACAACAGCAUCAUAUAGUCAUGUUAUCAUCAUCAUUAAUAGCACGACAUACAACUCAACAAAACAACAACAUCAUAACGAUAUCACAUCGUCACAUAACACAUUCAUAACUAACACGUAAAUUCAACAUCUCAUCAUCAUAAACACCUCAUACAUAAUCAUAUAAUCACUAUUAACUGUUUAUGAUACAACUACAGCGACUUACUAAGGGUCUCGCAACUCAACGUACUCAAAACCCACCAGCAUUAGCUUCUGCAUUUCUCCAGUUCGCGCCGCCAACAUAGGGACGCGCCGCGAACUCUCCAAUACAACACAGUUCGCGCCGCGAAGGAAGGAUCGCGUCGCGAACAACGAAUUACAGAACUCCUUCUGAAUCCUGCCCAGUUCGCGCCGCGAACUAGGCUUCGCGCCGCGAAUCGCGCGCGAACAGAACCCUCUGCUGCAGUAUUCGGCGCAGCUUUGCUUCUCUACUCGCCAAAACCCGUACCCCACAGCUAACCAACCCAAAAUUGACAUUUAACAGGCAUAUAUACACAACAUACUUCGAUUACCGUGCAUAUAACGCAACAAAAUUCACAAAUCGGAGGAUUUUCCAUCAAAACCCCAACUUUCCCAAUCUCCCUAAAAUUCCCAAAUUUCAUCAACAUUCCAACAGAUAUCAUGGAAUAGCUCGCAUAUUAUCGUUUAAUAAGAUUCAGACCCCUUACCUCUUUGGAUUGAAGGGAGCUCUGAGCAAUCUUUGGCCUUUUUCUCUUCGUUCUCUUUCUCUUCAGCGUUUUCCCCUUUUUCUACUUUCACGAUGCUUCUGCUCUUUCACGUAAAACUCUCUGUUCCAAAAAAUGAGACUAUUUCUCUUAUUUCCCACUUAUAUAUUUUCCAAAAUAAUAAUAAGUAUAAAUCCAAUAAUCCAAUUUAUUUAAUUAAAUUAAUAAAAUAAUAUUAUCAACUUAAUCAAAUAAUUCUUUUACUUUAUUUGGGGUGUUACAAUUGGGCGCAAGGUUCUGUACAUACUCGCCAUAACCCCAUUGAACCAUAAAUGAUCCAACACCGUCCCCAACUUUGAGUUCCCUGUACUUGAGGCAGAGGAAGAUGAUUCUUGAAGAGAUUCCCUGAUGAGAUUACCCAUCUGCUGAGUACGAGGAAAGAUCAAUUCCAGCCCACAUCUUUGAGAACCUGGAAAUAGAUCCAACUUGGGGUUUGAAGACUGUAUUCGUGAAGUAAAGAUUGGGGCACUUCUGAAGAGUCUGUUAAGAAGGAGUUGAUUGAGUUAACUAACGAGAAUAUGUCUGACGUCUUUGCCUCGGUCGUAAUGAAGACAUGCCUGGCUAGAUCAACUGAUAUCGUGCAACAUUCUUGUCGUUGAAGCCUGAGUGUGCUGUCAAUAAAAGCUCAGAAAGAAACGCGUCUGAUAAAGAGUUAAUAAUUAAAGAAAGAAGUUCAGAAGCAAAAAGAUGCGGGUUUCCGUUAGACGGUGUGGCUAGUGAUCGAGAGGAGGGUGGAAUAGAUCACAUCUUUAAAAUAAACGGAUUAAAAAUUCUGUAUCAGAGUUAAUGCAACUCCCGGGAAAUUACAGUUCGAAUCGACUUCCGUCUGAUUCUGAACCGCUCUAGAAAAGCGGACACGCGAAUUAUUGCUGGAUUGGAAUAAGAACGAUAGAGAUUAUAACACCAGAAUAUUAUCAAAUCAAAAUGCACUUAUCACUAAAUCUAAUUACCAAUGAAUAAAACUUUAGCUGACAGUUUUGUCAAACAUUUGGUGUGUAUAUGAUCAAAUGAUGAACAAUGGUGAGUUUAAAUAAAGAAGUUUUCUUGGCCAACUAAUUGUAUCACGAAAUGUAUAGCCACAUACACCAACCUGAAAUCACAAAACCUGUGAAAACAUAAAGAAGAAUACCGGAAAGAAUACGAUAAUCUCAGAGAUUUGUAAGAAGUUCCCCACUUGUCCGUCCUCCGCGUGUGGGUACAUCUCCCCUCACUUUCAAAAUGAAAUUUGAGAACUGUAAUUAUCAAUAAUGCCGAAUUGUUGAUACCAAGGUUUCAAUGACAAGACAGAAAUCUAAAUCCCAAGAUCUUCUUCUUGUAAAACCUCCACUUGCUCUGAGCUCGAUCAAGAAUUUCCUGGCAAACAUGCAACAAUUCACCGUUCCACAACUGUUUGUGAAAAUUUACCCACAAUUCGCAAACCUACCGCUACGGCUGAAUCGUGUUAUGCAACGGAUCUAACAAACCGCAAAACACUCCAUUUUUUUUUUUUUUUUGAAGUUCUUUAAGACAACCAUUUGGUUUUUCCUCGAAACCCCCUUCAACCUUCAACUUCAGCUAGACUCCUCGAUCGUUCCACUGAACACCUCAGCUAGGAUCCUUGAAUCGUUCCCACUGAACGUUUAUUCUCCGUUGAUCCUUAAAUCCAAAGAACAAGAAGACUAUGUGUUGAUUGUUCUUGACGAAAAGAGAAUUGAGAAGAAUGAAGAAGAUGAAGUCUCUCUUCAGGUUUCUAACUUACUCAAACAAUGCGCUCACAACUACCUUUGAUUUGUGUUACCACGUUUCACUUGUGAAUUUCGUGUUUCGUAAAUGAGCUGUCAAAAUACUUCUUAUAUGUGAAAGCAGAAAAGCUGUUAGUAGACAAACAGAAUUAUGUAUUGAUACGAAAGAUUAUGCAUCGAUACAUACUAUAGCUUUGAUUAAUUUUAGAGAAUAAUACAAGCAUGUAUCGAUACAAAAGCCGUAAAUCGAUGAGCAGUUAGAACAUUUUAAUCUAAGCCAUGUAUCGAUACAAAGCUCGUAAAUUAUCCGAUACAUAGAAACAUUUUAACUAAGCAUUGUAUCAUACAACCCGUACCCCACAGCUACACAACAAACACCAAAAACGACGUUUAACAGUCAUAUAUACACACAUACUUCGAUUACAGUGCAUUUAACGCAACAAAAACUCACAGAUCGGAGAAUUUCCAUCAAAACCCCAACUUUCCCAAUCUCCCUAAAAUCCCCAAAAUUCAUUAACAAUCCAACGAUAUCAUGAAAUUGCUCGCAUUAUCGUUUAAUAAGAUUCAGACCCUUACCUCUUUGGAUUGAAGGAAGCUCCGAGCAAUCUUUGGCCUUUUCCUCUUCCUUCU
RNAcentral lists this long non-coding RNA (7551 nucleotides) under Lathyrus oleraceus (garden pea). RNAcentral's name for it is "Pisum sativum (pea) long non-coding RNA (PSAT_LNC010411)". Lineage: Eukaryota; Viridiplantae; Streptophyta; Magnoliopsida; Fabales; Fabaceae. The record is from RNAcentral.